Manis javanica (Malayan pangolin) is the source of this 2098-nucleotide long non-coding RNA. RefSeq lists it as uncharacterized. The record is from RefSeq and is a predicted model, not a curated record. NCBI's taxonomy places the organism in Eukaryota, Metazoa, Chordata, Mammalia, Pholidota, Manidae.
CCCGAGCACUGCUUCCGUCUGGAGGGAGAGAACCGCAUGACCCUCUGUUCCACUGGCAUCUAACCACCCCCUGGCCCCCACCCCAAUCUCCCUUCCAUGGAAAGGCACAGCCAUGCCUGCCACAUCUUUACCUGCUGGUGCAAGAUGGUGAGGGUAGCGGGGGCCACGCUGACAUGGCUUGGAGUCCACUGCUCACGGCUACUGGAGGACAGAACUGACUCCAAGGCCCCAUUUAUCACAUCUACCCCUGGAAGAUACGAACGUGAACACGGCACCAACUGGGGCUGUGGCCAUCUCAAGGACAGAAACCAAGCAUAGUCCAUCUGUGUCCCCAGUCCUGACACUGGGCUCAUCUGCUAAAGGAAUUCCAGAUGCUUGAGCAAGUCACCCGGGAGGCAACAUGGGCAAAUGCACCCAAACUGGUACAACCGAGUAGCCCAGGAGCCCACAGAAGGGUGGCGGUGCAGCAGGAGCGGUGGCCCAGGUCAGACUGCACCCAGCUGUGAUGUUCCGACACUGACACCAGCCAGUGAAAGAUUACGUGUGGAUGAGAUACCAAUCCGGUAAUAAGCAGCCGGUGCUGUGGGGUGGAGCCUGGCCUCCGUGUGGGGAGGAUUACCAUGGAGGUGGAGAAAGCAGCAGAACAAAGUGACCUGGAAAGUCUGCCAUAUCUGUUAAUGACUAAGGACUAAAACCUACACUGAUUCCCAGCCCUUAUCUUGCUGUCCUUUUUUUUUUUCCAUGUCAAUUGUUGCCUUCUAACACACUAUAUAAUUUAUUCAUUUUAUUGUCUAUCCUGGCUAGAAUGUCAGCUACUUGAAGACAGCGAUCUUUGUUGGCUUUGUUCAUUAAUAUACACCAAAAACCUAAAAUAGUGCCAGGCACAAAUGAGGCACUCCCUAGUCCUGUUGAGUCAGUGGGUGAUUAAUGAGUGACUGCUGCAGCCUCAGGAGAGGCCAAUGGUAAACUCCUGGAUGUUAAAAAGGGAGCACAGGAUCAAGCAGCAAGUGAGUUUAGGGACUAGUGGUGUGAAAGCUGCAGCUUCAACAAAGCAGACCCACAGAGCUGAUGGGCAGCGAGGGGGAGAGGCAGUCAAGGGCUGCAUACGGUUGCCUUAGCAUAGUGAGACGCUAUGUAAGGUGCCAGGUGGAUUUGGGAGUAGGUGUGAUAACUGGGAGGUGACAGGGUUUAGCAGCUGAGGGUGAGAGGGAGGAGGGCAAAGGGAGGGGGGCCUUGCUUCUCUCCCCUUCUCCCUGUAGCUGCCCAUUUGGUGGGUCAUGCUUCUCCACACCCAUGGUUUUGAUGACCUCUAUGACCCUGUGCUUCCCACAUUUGUAUCUCCAGUCCAAACCUCUCCUCUGUGAAUCCAACUGCCAAAGUAGUUUGCCUCAGACAUGGCAUGUCCAAAACUGAGCUCCAGUCUCCAUACUGGCCUCUUCAAGACUCUGCUACCUUUAGAGAACAGCCCCACUAUCUGGUUCGUUCCAAAAGCCAGGAACCAGGAGGCAGCUUUAAUGCCUCUCUGUCCCUCAUCCCACAGUCAAUCAAUCACCAAGGCCUGUGGAUUUUAAUUGUCUCAAUAACUCUUGAAUCUACAUGCUCCUCUUCAGCUGCACCACGGUCCAAGAUACUCAUUAAUGGCUACAACUGCUACAAGAUCCUUCUAACUGAGCUCCUCACACCUACCUCCACCCACUGACCACCUUUCUCCAGGAUACAGCAAAGUGAGCUGUACAAAAUUCCUGUCUGAUUACACAAGUGCUCUCUGCAAACUCUUCAGUAACUCCGUGAGGCUCUUAGGAUGAAAAACAGAUUUGUUAACAUAGCCUAUGAGGUCCCUGGGGUCUAAGUGCUGCCCGGCUCCCAGCACAUCUGGCCUGCCUGGCCUUCUCUUAACGCCUUUGAAGUUCCAAAGUGCCUUCCACCCUCCUCACACACACCAUUCACUCUGCCUGGAAAGAUCCUUCCCUACUGUACUCCUAUCUCCCUCCCACUUUACCACUUUAGUUCCUACUCAUUUUUCAUCUCAAUUCAAUGUCACUUCCUCAAGAAUGUCUUAGUUCUGACUCCUUAAACUAAAUGAUGUUCCUCUGUUAAA